This 495-nucleotide ribosomal RNA is filed under the name uncultured bacterium. RNAcentral's name for it is "partial 16S ribosomal RNA". It matches the Rfam family "Bacterial small subunit ribosomal RNA", at positions 28 to 507 of the family's 1533-position model. The record is from RNAcentral.
GACGAACGCUGGCGGCGUGCCUAAUACAUGCAAGUAGAACGCUGAAGGAGGAGCUUGCUUCUCUGGAUGAGUUGCGAACGGGUGAGUAACGCGUAGGUAACCUGCCUGGUAGCGGGGGAUAACUAUUGGAAACGAUAGCUAAUACCGCAUAAUAGCAGUUGUUGCAUGAUAACUGUUUGAAAGGUGCAAUUGCACCACUACCAGAUGGACCUGCGUUGUAUUAGCUAGUUGGCGGGGUAACGGCUCACCAAGGCGACGAUACAUAGCCGACCUGAGAGGGGGAUCGGCCACACUGGGACUGAGACACGGCCCAGACUCCUACGGGAGGCAGCAGGAGGGAAUCUUCGGCAAUGGACGGAAGUCUGACCGAGCAACGCCGCGUGAGUGAAGAAGGUUUUCGGAUCGUAAAGCUCUGUUGUAAGAGAAGAACGAGUGUGAGAGUGGAAAGUUCACAAUGUGACGGUAUCUUACCAGAAAGGGACGGCUAACUACGUG